AACCUUCUGUAUCCGUGCUGAGAUUUCGUCGGCGAUCAACCAAUUAGGACUGAUGCAACUUCCCAAAUUAGUGAAGUG
Molecule: microRNA precursor, 78 nt
Filed under: Trichobilharzia regenti
Lineage: Eukaryota; Metazoa; Platyhelminthes; Trematoda; Strigeidida; Schistosomatidae
Description: mir-3492 microRNA precursor family
Rfam family: mir-3492 microRNA precursor family
Source: Rfam by way of RNAcentral